This 424-nucleotide ribosomal RNA is filed under the name uncultured bacterium. Its description in RNAcentral is "partial 16S ribosomal RNA". It matches the Rfam family "Bacterial small subunit ribosomal RNA", at positions 354 to 796 of the family's 1533-position model. The record is from RNAcentral.
GUGGGGAAUCUUAGACAAUGGGGGAAACCCUGAUCUAGCCAUGCCGCGUGAGCGAUGAAGGCCUUAGGGUUGUAAAGCUCUUUCAGCUGGGAAGAUAAUGACGGUACCAGCAGAAGAAGCCCCGGCUAACUCCGUGCCAGCAGCCGCGGUAAUACGGAGGGGGCUAGCGUUGUUCGGAAUUACUGGGCGUAAAGCGCGCGUAGGCGGACCAGAAAGUUGGAGGUGAAAUCCCAGGGCUCAACCUUGGAACUGCCUUCAAAACUCCUGGUCUGGAGUUCGAGAGAGGUGAGUGGAAUUCCGAGUGUAGAGGUGAAAUUCGUAGAUAUUCGGAGGAACACCAGUGGCGAAGGCGGCUCACUGGCUCGAUACUGACGCUGAGGUGCGAAAGCGUGGGGAGCAAACAGGAUUAGAACCCGAGUAGUCC